AUGGCUGGCCUGCGGCGCAAGAAGCACCGCCGCCGAACCCCAAAGAACACCACCGAACAACCACCGUCAAUCCCAAGCAGCUGCACCACCAUCAGCACCAUCACCACCACAGUGAGCAACAAACACCUCAUCGACCAUGCGGCCCUAAAGAUGAAGCCUUCAAGAAGGCCCACGACGCCGAUUAUGCCGACAUCAUCCAUACAAAGAAGACAUGGACUAGGGGUUCCCCCCGGGGUGCCAACGAGGAGGAUUAAACAACAUGACAACGAUGCCUCCAAGAAGGUUAGCGACGCCCACGAGCGCCGCCGUCGCCGGCUCCGGAUGAAGCAAGGCUUUCACACCAGUUGA
This 348-nucleotide ribosomal RNA is filed under the name Triticum aestivum (bread wheat). RNAcentral's name for it is "partial small subunit ribosomal RNA". The record is from RNAcentral. Lineage: Eukaryota; Viridiplantae; Streptophyta; Magnoliopsida; Poales; Poaceae.